AGUAGAAUGGCUGGAUCAUAUGGUAAGUACAUGUGAACUUUUCAGGAAACUGCCACAGUUUUCCAAAGUGGGUAUACCAUCUUGUAUUUCCAACAGCAGA
This 100-nucleotide microRNA precursor is filed under the name Marmota monax (woodchuck). The record is from RNAcentral. Lineage: Eukaryota; Metazoa; Chordata; Mammalia; Rodentia; Sciuridae.